CCCAGACACUAGAGAUCCUACCCCAGAGCCAGAGCCUGCCACAGCCCCAGACACUAGAGAUCCCGCCCCACAGACUGAUACUGCCCAACAGUCCACCUCAGAAAUGGACUACCCAAACUGGGUGGGGGUACUGGCAAAAGGGAUGCAGGAGAUGUGCCAAGAGAUGGGUCAGGUGCGCCAGGGGAUAUGCCAGGAGAUGGGCCAGGUGCGCAAGGAGAUGUGCCAGGAGAUGGGCCAGGUGCGCCAGGAGAUAUGCCAAUUGCUAAGGGAAUACACCUCCUCAGCUAGUGAAAAACCCUCUCCCUGCCCCAAAGAGGGUGAGUCCGAUGGUGCAGCAGUGGAACCCACGGAUGUUACAACCAUCCAGGCUUCAGCUGAACCACAAGGACAACCACAGCCAGCAGCAGUCGCCCCUGUGCAAAGGAGGAAGUAUAAGACCAAAUCAGUACGACCAGUCAAUGAUGAUGGGCAACCAGGGCCCUCACAACCAGCAGGAGAGCCAGAGCCAGAAGUCAUCACUGAGUCCCUGUCGCACGACAGUCUCCGUGCUAUGCGAAACGACAUUGUGCGAAGGGGGCGUGAGCCUUAUACCACCUGGCUGCUUCGGGUUUGGGACCUUAUGGGCACAAGUGUGCAACUGGAUAGUGGUGAGGCAAGGUAUCUGGGAUCGUUGACCCAGGACCCAGGUGUGGACCAGAUAUUUGUGAGGGAGCCAGGGCCUCUCUCUCUUUGGGAGCGGCUCUUAAUGAGUGUGAGAGAAAGGUUCAUUCACAAAGAAAGAAUGCAGGAGUAUCAUCAUAGAAUGCAGUGGAAGACACUCGAGCAAGGGAUCCAACAGCUAAGAGAGGUGGCAAUAUUAGAGGUACUCUUUGGGAAGGAUGGACAGCAUGAUAAUGACCCCGAUAAGGUCAGGUGCACAGGACAGAUGAUGUGGAACCUGGCAAGGCUAGGGCCAUCACAAUACACCACCUUCAUUGCAACGAUUGAUGCUGACAAUACCCGAGAAACAGUGGGCUCUGUUGCCAACAGGCUCAGGC
This 1037-nucleotide long non-coding RNA is filed under the name Corvus moneduloides (New Caledonian crow). RNAcentral's name for it is "lncRNA (ENSCMUG00000017034.1)". The record is from RNAcentral. Lineage: Eukaryota; Metazoa; Chordata; Aves; Passeriformes; Corvidae.